Molecule: ribosomal RNA, 388 nt
Filed under: uncultured bacterium
Lineage: Bacteria
Description: bacterial SSU rRNA
Rfam family: Bacterial small subunit ribosomal RNA
Source: RNAcentral
AUUGAACGCUGGCGGCAUGCCUUACACAUGCAAGUCGAACGGCAGCGCGGGGCAACCUGGCGGCGAGUGGCGAACGGGUGAGUAACAUAUCGGAACAUACCCUAGAGUGGGGGAUAACGUAGCGAAAGUUACGCUAAUACCGCAUACGAUCUAAGGAUGAAAGUGGGGGAUCUUCGGACCUCAUGCUCAUGGAGUGGCCGAUAUCUGAUUAGCUAGUUGGUGAGGUAAAGGCUCACCAAGGCGACGAUCAGUAGCUGGUUUGAGAGACGACCAGCCACACUGGAACUGAGACACGGUCCAGACUCCUACGGAGGCAGCAGUGGGGAAUUUUGGACAAGUGGGGCAACCCUGAUCAGCAAUGCCGCGUGAGUGAAGAGGCCUUCGGGUU